Molecule: unclassified non-coding RNA, 336 nt
Filed under: soil metagenome
Description: partial contains 5.8S ribosomal RNA, internal transcribed spacer 2, and large subunit ribosomal RNA
Rfam family: 5.8S ribosomal RNA (bases 1-120)
Source: RNAcentral
GAUGAAGAACGCAGCGAAAUGCGAUAAGUAAUGUGAAUUGCAGAAUUCAGUGAAUCAUCGAAUCUUUGAACGCACAUUGCGCCCGCCAGUAUUCUGGCGGGCAUGCCUGUUCGAGCGUCAUUUCAACCAUCAAGCCCCAGGCUUGUGUUGGGGACCUGCGGCUGCCGCAGGCCCUGAAAACCAGUGGCGGGCUCGCUGUCACACCGGGCGUAGUAGAUUUUAUCUCGCUCAGGGCGUGCUGCGGGUUCCGGCCGUUAAAAAGCCUUUUUUACCCAAGGUUGCCCUCGGAUCAGGUAGGAAGACCCGCUGAACUUAAGCAUAUCAAUAAGCGGAGGA